GUGGCAAGUUUAUUCCGGCCACACGAGUAGUGCAUAGACUAAGACCAGGUACAUGUACUGGAGUGUUUGCCAAUCCGUUAUCGAUGCACGAGGAGCAUUGACGAUAAACCGAUUUUGAAUAAGUUUCUACUCAUUCCCGCAUUGUGACUCUACUGAGCUCCAUACAAAGACAUUCAUUGUGAAUGUGAAUCAUAAACAUGCAUGUUGUUUUUUUUCGUGUCAUAAUUCCCUUUUGUUAUUAUUAAAAUUAAAUGGUGUUAUGAUUUUGUAAUCAAAUAAAAAUUUUACAUUUUUGUUGCAAAACUUUUUUGGCUUAGUAUAUAUUCCAAUUUGAUAUUAUAAAAA
Molecule: long non-coding RNA, 345 nt
Filed under: Mytilus galloprovincialis (Mediterranean mussel)
Lineage: Eukaryota; Metazoa; Mollusca; Bivalvia; Mytilida; Mytilidae
Source: RNAcentral